AACGAACGCUGGCGGCAUGCCUAACACAUGCAAGUCGAACGAGACCUUCGGGUCUAGUGGCGCACGGGUGCGUAACGCGUGGGAACCUGCCCUUAGGUUCGGAAUAACUCCCCGACAGGGGUGCUAAUACCGGAUAAUGUCUUCGGACCAAAGAUUUAUCGCCUUUGGAUGGGCCCGCGUUGGAUUAGCUAGUUGGUAGGGUAAAAGCCUACCAAGGCGACGAUCCAGAGCUGGUCUGAGAGGAUGAUCAGCCACACUGGAACUGAGACACGGCCCAGACUCCUACGGGAGGCAGCAGUGGGGAAUAUUGGACAAUGGGCGAAAGCCUGAUCCAGCAAUGCCGCGUGAGUGAUGAAGGCCUUAGGGUUGUAAAGCUCUUUUACCCGGGAUGAUAAUGACAGUACCGGGAGAAUAAGCUCCGGCUAACUCCGUG
RNAcentral lists this ribosomal RNA (433 nucleotides) under uncultured bacterium. RNAcentral's name for it is "partial 16S ribosomal RNA". It matches the Rfam family "Bacterial small subunit ribosomal RNA", at positions 29 to 507 of the family's 1533-position model. The record is from RNAcentral.